RNAcentral lists this small RNA (929 nucleotides) under uncultured Actinomycetes bacterium. Its description in RNAcentral is "bacterial SSU rRNA". The stretch from base 1 to 473 matches the Rfam family "Bacterial small subunit ribosomal RNA", at positions 1064 to 1533 of the family's 1533-position model. The record is from RNAcentral. Lineage: Bacteria; Bacillati; Actinomycetota; Actinomycetes.
GUCGUGAGAUGUUGGGUUAAGUCCCGCAACGAGCGCAACCCUUAUCCUAUGUUGCCAGCGCGUAAUGGCGGGGACUCAUGGGAGACUGCCGGGGUCAACUCGGAGGAAGGUGGGGACGACGUCAAGUCAUCAUGCCCCUUAUGUCCAGGGCUGCAAACAUGCUACAAUGGCCAGUACAAAGGGCUGCUAUACCGCGAGGUGGAGCGAAUCCCAUAAAGCUGGUCUCAGUUCGGAUUGAAGUCUGCAACUCGACUUCAUGAAGCUGGAGUCGCUAGUAAUCCCGGAUCAGCAACGCCGGGGUGAAUACGUUCCCGGGCCUUGUACACACCGCCCGUCACACCACGAAAGUCGGCAACACCCGAAGUCAGUGGCCCAACCCGCAAGGGAGGGAGCUGCCGAAGGUGGGGUCAGCGAUUGGGGUGAAGUCGUAACAAGGUAGCCGUACCGGAAGGUGCGGCUGGAUCACCUCCUUUCUAAGGAGUUUCCUAUCCCGUCGGAUCACGGCCACAUGCGUCGUGCCGGCUUGGGGAUUCCCAGUUGGCGCACGGGCUAGCUCGUCGGUUCUCAUCUGAACGACCCGGUUGUCAGACAACGCUCCUCGGAGCUGCGUCUCCCGCUUGUCGUUCGUGAGACUCGACCUUCCGUCCUCUGUUCUGUUUUGAGGGAGCGCCUGCGCACCUUCAGUCAACCCCGACCGCCUCGAGCAUCGGUUCCUCUCCCGAGGAGCUUGGCUCGGCGAGUGGGUCUCGCUGGUACCUGACCGGCAUCGCCUCUUGAGAAUUGCAUAGCGAACACGAGCAUCUAAGUAGUGUAAUUCCAAGCUACAAAGAGCCAACGGUGGAUGCCUUGGCGUCUAUUACCGAUGAAGGACGUGGUCGGCUGCGAAAAGCCGCGGUUAGCUGCCUAACGAGCGUUUGACCCGCGGAUGU